CGAAAGCUUAGGCUGGUCUGUAUUGAUGCUUUAAAGAGAUAUAGAAAUAAGACUGGACAGAGAAUGGGUGGAAGAACAGAGUUCAUCGUAAUAGAUGAAAGCAACUUCCGCCAUAAAAGGAAGUAUGCACGUGGAAGAAUAAGUGAAACAUGGAAAAGGAAAAAGUGGGUGUUCGGCAUGCUGGCCAUAAAGGCUCAGAGACGGCGACCGAUUUUGCGACUUGUAAAACGGCGUUCAAGACAUCGCCUCAUUCCUAUCAUCAGAAGACAUGUUCGCCCAGGAUCCAAAAUUUUAAGUGAUGAUUGGAGGCCUUACAGGUCUUUGAGUAGGCUGGGCUUCUCACACUACUCAGUGAAUCACAGCAGGUUCUUUGUGAACCCAAACCAUGGAGGGCACACACAACAUAUCGAAAGAGCUUGGUCUACAUACAAAGGACAGAUAUGGAGGUUGAGAGGCAACAAGACUGAGAAGCUCUUGAAGGAGCACUUAGCUUGUAUUGAAUGGACUUUUUGGAUGGGGAUGGAUCACACACAUGGUCCUCUGGGGCGGUUGAUGAAGGAUAUUAGAAAGUAUUACUGCCUUUAAGGUUUUCCUCAAAUACUGUAAUUCAUUGCAUCGUUUAGAAUGACAUGCUUAUUGACCUUUGCCAGAAAAAAAAAAGUAACAUGAAUUAGAUGUAUUAGAGAACCAUUGGCUGAAAGUUGAAGUUUAAGCAUAUUUGCUGUCUCCUGUUGUUAUAUUUAUUAAGUUUAGUAAUCUGAUGUAA
Long non-coding RNA from Megalobrama amblycephala (Wuchang bream), 766 nucleotides. RefSeq lists it as uncharacterized. The record is from RefSeq and is a predicted model, not a curated record. The transcript is spliced from 2 exons. NCBI's taxonomy places the organism in Eukaryota, Metazoa, Chordata, Actinopteri, Cypriniformes, Xenocyprididae.